This 126-nucleotide small RNA is filed under the name Salmonella enterica subsp. arizonae. RNAcentral describes it as "RtT sRNA". It matches the Rfam family "RtT RNA". From Rfam's summary of the family: This family represents a bacterial cis-regulatory element known as RtT RNA. Lineage: Bacteria; Pseudomonadati; Pseudomonadota; Gammaproteobacteria; Enterobacterales; Enterobacteriaceae. RNAcentral also lists the same sequence under 1 other name. The record is from RNAcentral.
UCUCCGUACGGGGAAGGAUGAGAAGCUUCGACUAAGGUUCGAUUCGAGCGCAGCGAGAAAGCGUUGCCGCAGGCAACGACCCGAAGGGUGAGAGCGGAGCGACGAAUAAUCCUUCCCCCACCACCA